Molecule: long non-coding RNA, 2283 nt
Organism: Heterocephalus glaber (naked mole-rat)
Lineage: Eukaryota; Metazoa; Chordata; Mammalia; Rodentia; Bathyergidae
Source: RefSeq, a predicted model, not a curated record
GCGGAGCUUUGGCCGAGGGGCUCGUCAGUGAGAGCAGCUUCGCGGGUCCACACAGUGCUGGAGAACGAACCCAAGGCCUUGCAGCUCCUUCCAGUGUGGAACCUGAAGCAUGUUUGUCAGGAAAUGGGCACAGUGGCAGGGAGGCACACAAUCCGCAAGCUGGCAGAAGCAGCUAUCCAACCAAAGCGUGAUGGAGUAGCCCAGGGCAAAAGCUGAAUCAUGUGGUAAUUGCUCAAUGAAAACAAGCUAGAAGAUAAGCAAGUUGGUUUUUUUUUAGUAGAAUUCAUCAUCUGUCUUCAGUAAAGUGUCUUUUUUUUUUCUAUUGAACCUAGGACCCCACUUCUUUUUAGAUUUUUAAAUUUUGAGACAGGCUUUCACUGAGUUGCUGAACUGCCCAUGUUGGACUUGAAUUUGUUAACACUUCUGCCUCAGCCUCGUGGAGUGGUGGGAUUACAUUUGUGCAACACCGCGCCCAGCUAUGGUUCUCUCUCUAAGUCGCAAUAUUGGACUAUGUUCUUGGAAUGCAAACUCAUCUUGAACUCUGAAUUACUGGAGUUCAAGAGUAAUUCAAGUACUGAACUACUAGAAAGGCUGUCUGCCUUGCUUGUACAGACACCCAUAGUACCAUUGACUACUUGCCGCUUCCUUUGCCUGUUAGCUUUCCAAUUAAAUCUAGCCUGCAAUUUGUGAUACUGUACUUACCCAUUUUCCUUCCUGCUCUGCUCAAAGUCUGAAUAAUUCAACAAUCUCUUGCUUAGCACCACACAUCUAAAAUUCAUUCUACAAAAUUUAACCUCAUCCUAGCAAACUCUAUUGUUUCCCCUGAAAACGUUGUCAUAGUGUCAGAUAAACCUAGAACAUGCCAGGUUCUUUUUAUACCAACGUAACUGCCAACCUAGUCACUGCCUAGCAUUCAACAACUUUAAGAAGAGAUUGCUCUUUGCUUGUCUUUAAUGGAAGAGACUGACAUGAACAUUUCUUCUUGGGCUUGCAUUAAAAAAUAAAGUCUAUUGAGAGGUAUCAGAUGAGGACCUAUUUAGAUUGGAAGUAGAGAGAAUGAAUAGCUUUUAUGAAUUGGAGAAAUGAAUUCUUAGUUUGGUUAAAAGCAUAUUCUACACCUUAUUUCCUGUUCAAUAAGUGGAGCAUUUUCAUGGAAAUAAGCCAAAGGUUUUAUGAAAAGUCUCUUACUUUUUCCAUCUGUUAGGAACAUUUGUCAAAUAUAAAUUAAAAGUAAAUCUCUACAAAAAUUGUAUGUUCUCACUCUGCUGUUGGGAGUUCAAUUUUAUAGCUUUUUAUUGUGAGUCUUAGCUGAGUUUGUAUCAGAUGAAAUCUUAUAAAUAGAGUCAUUUUUCAAACAAAAAUAACUUGAUCUUUUUGUAUUGUAAAUAAAUUUCAGCUUUAAAUGAAGAAUUUGAAGUUUUGAAAUGUUAACUAUUUGUAAUCACUUUACAGUUUCUGCCAUGAUAUGUCUAUCGUCCUAAAAUCUUCCAAGUAUUCAUCACAAAUCUGACAUUUUAUGAAACAACCUGGCUUUUCUAUGUAGUUUUUGGAUAACUCACUUAGUCUCUACAUUGUUAUCAUGUUCUAGCCUAAAAGAAAAAAGAGCUAAGGUCACUUGAACAAAUACUUGACUAAGAAAUCAUAUCCAUUUGAGUCCUCAAAAGUUUAAUCAUGCACAAUUACAUCUCCUGUAGUAAUAUGAUAUGCACAUGUAAAAGGAAGGAGCAACUUCUGGUUUUUUUUGUGCAGCUACAUUAAGGUAAUAUUUUCUACUUAAUCUAUCUAGAAGCACCUACAGAGUUGGAAAGCUGUGGUUGGAGGAAGCAAGGGGAAUUGUAGAGAUGAUAUCUCCAUAUUAUUUUGGAUGACUUGCUAAGGUGCAGUUUUGUUUUUGGUUUGUUUUGGUUUUUUGGUUUUGGUUUUUUUUGUGGUACCGGGGAUUGAACUCAGGACCUUGCGCUUGCCGGGCAGGCAUGGUGCCACUGAGCUACAUCCCUGGCCCCCAAGAUGCAGUUUUGAAUAAACUUCAUUGUAAAGUACUUAUUUAGUGUGAAGCUUAAAUCAUGAAAAAUACACAAGGGAGCCAAGUUAGUUGAGUAAUAAUUUUAUAGAAAUUGAUGUAUUUAUUAAAUAUGCUUAAGGGUAAUAGAAACCAGUUAACAUCCUACUCUACUUCUUUCUUUCUUUCUCUCUUUCUUUCUUUCUUUCUUUCUCUCUUUCCUUCUUUCUUUCUGGAUUGUCAUCAGCUUUCUCAUUCCUUUAAAUUGUUGUUUGCUAUUGCCU